This 679-nucleotide long non-coding RNA is filed under the name Phoenix dactylifera (date palm). RNAcentral's name for it is "long non-coding RNA (PDAC_LNC019549)". The record is from RNAcentral. Lineage: Eukaryota; Viridiplantae; Streptophyta; Magnoliopsida; Arecales; Arecaceae.
AGAACAAAGAUCAUGUAAUGAGGAAAAAAUAUCUCGAGAAAGAAAACUAUACACACCUAACUUGGUAGAAAGACAUGAGAUGGUUCAGAGAUGAAACAUACACAGGUGAUAAAGCAGGUUGUAACCAAAUUACUUAUAUGGGAAACAUUAGAUCAUGUGUUUUACUUUAAUGCUUGCAAUUAUCUAAUUGAAUUAAUAUUGUCUUGAAUCUACAAGGUCCUCUCAGAGAUCUAAAUUAUUUGCUUAAAUUGGAGAUCAGCAGUCUUAUAUGCUUACUAUAAGUUUAACUUCAGCCAAAUCUGGUUUAAAUUAAUUCGACCACCGGUGGGACUCCCAUGGAGAAAUUGGAACAACCCCGGCCUAUAGGAUUUAAAGUUGCCAUUUAGGCCAUUUAAAACCUUGUUUACCGUUGUCUCUAGAGAGACAAGAGAAGCGACUGGACUUUAUCCCCUCGAGAAAUGGCCUAUAUGGCAACUUUCUCCCAGCUACACUGUCAUUAUCUUAACUACAAACAUUAAUAAGAAUGUCAACUUCCAAUAUCUCUUCGUUCUUUACUCCAUACUUCUACUCAAUUUUGAAUUGCCUGCACAUAUUUUAUGAUAACAAACAUGAGAUAGUACAAUCAGCGUACUCAAGCCCAUCCAAUUACGGAGGAGUCGAGACACACCAAUAAGUCUGG